GAUGAACGCUGGCGGCGUGCCUAACACAUGCAAGUCGAGCGAAGCACUUUGCUUAGAUUCUUCGGAUGAAGAGGAUUGUGACUGAGCGGCGGACGGGUGAGUAACGCGUGGGUAACCUGCCUCAUACAGGGGGAUAACAGUUAGAAAUGACUGCUAAUACCGCAUAAGACCACAGCACCGCAUGGUGCGGGGGUAAAAACUCCGGUGGUAUGAGAUGGACCCGCGUCUGAUUAGCUAGUUGGUAAGGUAACGGCUUACCAAGGCGACGAUCAGUAGCCGACCUGAGAGGGUGACCGGCCACAUUGGGACUGAGACACGGCCCAAACUCCUACGGGAGGCAGCAGUGGGGAAUAUUGCACAAUGGGGGAAACCCUGAUGCAGCGACGCCGCGUGAGCGAAGAAGUAUUUCGGUAUGUAAAGCUCUAUCAGCAGGGAAGAAAAUGACGGUACCUGACUAAGAAGCC
This 464-nucleotide ribosomal RNA is filed under the name uncultured bacterium. RNAcentral describes it as "bacterial SSU rRNA". It matches the Rfam family "Bacterial small subunit ribosomal RNA", at positions 28 to 492 of the family's 1533-position model. The record is from RNAcentral.